Molecule: ribosomal RNA, 270 nt
Filed under: uncultured archaeon
Lineage: Archaea
Description: partial 16S ribosomal RNA
Rfam family: Archaeal small subunit ribosomal RNA
Source: RNAcentral
CAGCACCUCAAGUGGUCAGGAUGAUUAUUGGGCCUAAAGCAUCCGUAGCCGGCGCUGUAAGUUUUCGGUUAAAUCUGUACGCUCAACGUACAGGCUGCCGGGAAUACUGCAGCGCUAGGGAGUGGGAGAGGUAGACGGUACUCGGUAGGAAGGGGUAAAAUCCUUUGAUCUAUUGAUGACCACCUGUGGCGAAGGCGGUCUACCAGAACACGUCCGACGGUGAGGGAUGAAAGCUGGGGGAGCAAACCGGAUUUGAGACCCGAGUAGUCC